UACGUAGGGUGCAAGCGUUGUUCGGAAUUACUGGGCGUAAAGGGCUCGUAGGCGGCCAACUAAGUCAGACGUGAAAUCCCUCGGCUUAACCGGGGAACUGCGUCUGAUACUGGAUGGCUGGAGGUUGGGAGAGGGAUGCGGAAUUCCAGGUGUAGCGGUGAAAUGCGUAGAUAUCUGGAGGAACACCGGUGGCGAAGGCGGCAUCCUGGACCAAUUCUGACGCUGAGGAGCGAAAGCCAGGGGAGCAAACGGG
Molecule: ribosomal RNA, 253 nt
Filed under: uncultured bacterium
Lineage: Bacteria
Description: partial 16S ribosomal RNA
Rfam family: Bacterial small subunit ribosomal RNA
Source: RNAcentral